AGUGAACGCUGGCGGUAGGCCUAUCACAUGCAAGUCGAACGGCAGCACAGUAAGAGCUUGCUCUUACGGGUGGCGAGUGGCGGACGGGUGAGGAAUACAUCGGAAUCUACUUUUUCGUGGGGGAUAACGUAGGGAAACUUACGCUAAUACCGCAUACGACCUACGGGUGAAAGCAGGGGAUCUUCGGACCUUGCGCGAUUGAAUGAGCCGAUGUCGGAUUAGCUAGUUGGCGGGGUAAAGGCCCACCAAGGCGACGAUCCGUAGCUGGUCUGAGAGGAUGAUCAGCCACACUGGAACUGAGACACGGUCCAGACUCCUACGGGAGGCAGCAGUGGGGAAUAUUGGACAAUGGGCGCAAGCCUGAUCCAGCCAUACCGCGUGGGUGAAGAAGGCCUUCGGGUUGUAAAGCCCUUUUGUUGGGAAAGAAAAGCAGCAGGUUAAUACCCCGCUGCUCUGACGGUACCCAAAGAAUAAGCACCGGCUAACUUCGUG
RNAcentral lists this ribosomal RNA (492 nucleotides) under uncultured bacterium. RNAcentral describes it as "partial 16S ribosomal RNA". It matches the Rfam family "Bacterial small subunit ribosomal RNA", at positions 29 to 507 of the family's 1533-position model. The record is from RNAcentral.